RNAcentral lists this unclassified non-coding RNA (358 nucleotides) under soil metagenome. RNAcentral describes it as "partial contains 5.8S ribosomal RNA, internal transcribed spacer 2, and large subunit ribosomal RNA". The stretch from base 1 to 120 matches the Rfam family "5.8S ribosomal RNA", at positions 35 to 154 of the family's 154-position model. The record is from RNAcentral.
GAUGAAGAACGUAGCGAAAUGCGAUAAGUAUUGUGAAUUGCAGAAUUCAGUGAAUCAUCGAAUCUUUGAACGCACAUUGCGCCCGUCAGUAUUCUGGCGGGCAUGCCUGUUCGAGCGUCAUUACGCCCCUCAAGUCCCCUGUGGACUUGGUGCUGGGGAUCGGCGAGGCUGGUUUUCCAGCACAGCCGUCCCUUAAAUUAAUUGGCGGUCUCGCCGUGGCCCUCCUCUGCGCAGUAGUAAAACACUCGCAACAGGAGCCCGGCGCGGUCCACUGCCGUAAAACCCCCCAACUUUUUAUAGUUGACCUCGAAUCAGGUAGGACUACCCGCUGAACUUAAGCAUAUCAAUAAGCGGAGGA